GUGGGGAAUCUUAGACAAUGGGGGCAACCCUGAUCUAGCCAUGCCGCGUGAGUGAUGAAGGCCUUAGGGUCGUAAAGCUCUUUCGCUGGGGAAGAUAAUGACGGUACCCAGUAAAGAAACCCCGGCUAACUCCGUGCCAGCAGCCGCGGUAAUACGGAGGGGGUUAGCGUUGUUCGGAAUUACUGGGCGUAAAGCGCGCGUAGGCGGAUUGGAAAGUUGGGGGUGAAAUCCCGGGGCUCAACCCUGGAAUGGCCUUCAAAACUCCCAGUCUUGAGGUCGAGAGAGGUGAGUGGAAUUACGAGUGUAGAGGUGAAAUUCGUAGAUAUUCGGAGGAACACCAGUGGCGAAGGCGGCUCACUGGCUCGAUACUGACGCUGAGGUGCGAAAGCGUGGGGAGCAAACAGGAUUAGAUACCCCAGUAGUCC
RNAcentral lists this ribosomal RNA (425 nucleotides) under uncultured bacterium. RNAcentral describes it as "partial 16S ribosomal RNA". It matches the Rfam family "Bacterial small subunit ribosomal RNA", at positions 354 to 796 of the family's 1533-position model. The record is from RNAcentral.